This 253-nucleotide ribosomal RNA is filed under the name uncultured bacterium. Its description in RNAcentral is "partial 16S ribosomal RNA". It matches the Rfam family "Bacterial small subunit ribosomal RNA", at positions 524 to 776 of the family's 1533-position model. The record is from RNAcentral.
UACGUAGGGGCCUAGCGUUGUCCGGAAUCAUUGGGCGUAAAGAGCGCGUAGGCGGCCCGGUAAGUCCGCUGUAAAAGUCAAAGGCUCAACCUUUGAAUGUCAGUGGAUACUGCCGGGCUAGAGUCCGGAAGAGGCGAGUGGAAUUCCUGGUGUAGCGGUGGAAUGCGCAGAUAUCAGGAGGAACACCAACGGCGAAGGCAGCUCGCUAGGACGGUACUGACGCUGAGGCGCGAAGGCCAGGGGAGCAAACGGG